GUGCAGCAGUCGAGAAAACUUCACAAUGUGCGAAAGCACGAUGAGGGAAUCCCAAGUGCUUGCACGUAAGUGUAAGCUGUUUCUCUGUCUAAAACGCAGAGAGAGUAAGGGCUGGGUAAGACGGGUGCCAGCCGCCGCGGUAAUACCUGCAGCUCGAGUGGUGACCGUUAUUAUUGGGCCUAAAACGUCCGUAGCCGGUUUAAUAAAUGCCUGGGUAAAUCGGACCGCUUAACGGUUCGAAUUCCGGGUAGACUGUUAAACUUGAGACCGGGAGAAGUUAGAGGUACUCCUGGGGUAGAGGUGAAAUUCUGUAAUCCGUAGGGGGACCACCAGUGGCGAAGGCGUCUAACUAGAACGGGUCUGACGGUGAGGGACGAAGCCC
Molecule: ribosomal RNA, 382 nt
Filed under: uncultured microorganism
Description: bacterial SSU rRNA
Rfam family: Archaeal small subunit ribosomal RNA
Source: RNAcentral